Molecule: transfer RNA, 71 nt
Filed under: Dialister micraerophilus DSM 19965
Lineage: Bacteria; Bacillati; Bacillota; Negativicutes; Veillonellales; Veillonellaceae
Rfam family: tRNA
About the family: Transfer RNA (tRNA) molecules are approximately 80 nucleotides in length. Their secondary structure includes four short double-helical elements and three loops (D, anti-codon, and T loops).
Source: Rfam by way of RNAcentral
AGGGGUAUAGCCAAGCGGUAAGGCAACGGACUUUGACUCCGUCAUCGGUGGUUCGACUCCACCUAUCCCUG